This 468-nucleotide ribosomal RNA is filed under the name uncultured bacterium. Its description in RNAcentral is "partial 16S ribosomal RNA". It matches the Rfam family "Bacterial small subunit ribosomal RNA", at positions 28 to 507 of the family's 1533-position model. The record is from RNAcentral.
GACGAACGCUGGCGGCGUGCCUAACACAUGCAAGUCGAACGGAAAGGCCCUGCCUUUGUGCGGUGCUCGAGGGGCGAACGGGGGAUCAACACGCGAGUAACCUGUCCUUCACUUUGGGAUAACUUCAGGAAACAGGGGCUAAUACCGGAUAGGAUCUCCUGCUGCAGGGUGAGGGUUGGUAAGUUUCGGCGGUUGGGGAUGGACUGGCGGCUUAUCAGCUUGUUGGUUGGGUGGUGGCUGACCAAGGCAUUGCCGGGUAGCCGGCCUGGGAGGGUGACCGGCCACAUUAGGACUGAGAUACGGCCCAGACUCGUACGGGAGGCAACGGUGGAGAAGAUUACACUGUGGGCGGAAGCCAGGUGUGGCAACGCCGCGUGCGGGAUGACGGGAUUCGGUUUGUGUUGCACUUUCGCCUGUGACGAGGCGUGAGUGACGGUAAUGGGUGAAGAAGCACCGGCUAACUACGUG